This is a long non-coding RNA of Aegilops tauschii subsp. strangulata, 1090 nucleotides long. RefSeq lists it as uncharacterized. The record is from RefSeq and is a predicted model, not a curated record. NCBI's taxonomy places the organism in Eukaryota, Viridiplantae, Streptophyta, Magnoliopsida, Poales, Poaceae.
AAAAAAAAGCUACGUACAUGAAUCUUAUCCUAUAUACUUAAGAAGUUCAUCCACACUACUCUAUUUAUCUUCACACGCAGCCUAUCCACAUCAUCAAGUGACCCCAUAUGUGAAAACAUCCCCACUAGCUCAUGAAGUCUGCCACGUCAUCACAAUCCUCCUUGGUUUUUUUUCUCUAUGGUAUAGCCACCCCAAGGCCCACGAACUGGAAUUCGGAAGCAGGACCAGUGGCCUCCUCCGCUUCCCCUCCCUGUAUUGCCAGCAAAACAAGAUUCUGACAUCCCUCAAAAAAAAUUCUAACAGAACAUACGAGGAGAAUAAGAAUAAGACGGAGAAGAAUAAGAAUUGUGUCGCAUCUUAUUCUUUCGCUGGCUUCCACCCCGUCUUCUCCCCUUCAGUUCUCAAUCCGCGAAUUCAUCUCCCUCUUCAUCUUCUUCAAUCUCCCUCAAAUCCCACUACUUCCUUCUCGCGCUGGGGUAAGUGAUGGCCAGAGGAGUUCCUAACGACGAGAUCCCCCGACGGCUGUCCCCGUCCUGCCUCCGGCUUCCCCGGCAGAGCGCCUUGCGAAGGAUGCCGCAGCGUCGACAUCGGCCCCGGUGACUCUCGGUGAUUACCUUGCUGCCGCCGGUCGGGUGCCGCGGCAAAUGGUCGGGAAGGCUUCUCGUGGCAGCGGCGAACCUUGCUCGGUGUCGCGCGUCUCAUGCGUCCGCCGCUCAUCUUCCCCACCCCGAAGCAGGCGACGGCGAAUCAGCUGAGUGAGGCCCGUGGUGGCGUUCCUGUCCCGUGUGCAUGGAUCCCAUUGUCGGACCAUUUGUUAUCGUUCUAUGAAUUCAGGUAGAUGCCUUCACAAGGAUGGCGUGGAUGCCAAGGAGAGCAUUAAUCUUUCUUAGCCCGAAUUGCUAGGUGAUUUCCCUCUAGACAUAGCGAUGGAAUAAGCACUUCAGCAGUCGCUAGCUUUUCGGCACCGCUGCGGCAAGAUCACUAGCCAUGAGGCUCCUCCGUGAGUUCAGUUCAUUCUCUCUUCAAUUCCUUCAUCAGAGUAUAGAACAUAAGUCCAUUUCCUAAUGAAUUUAUUCUCCUAUUCCUAUUA